RNAcentral lists this ribosomal RNA (253 nucleotides) under uncultured bacterium. RNAcentral's name for it is "partial 16S ribosomal RNA". It matches the Rfam family "Bacterial small subunit ribosomal RNA", at positions 524 to 776 of the family's 1533-position model. The record is from RNAcentral.
UACGAAGGGGGCGAGCGUUGUUCGGAUUUACUGGGCGUAAAGGGCGCGCAGGCGGCCGCAUUUGUCAGGCGUGAAAGCCCCGGGCUUAACCUGGGAACUGCGUUUGAUACGGUGUGGCUAGAGUUCGGGAGAGGAGAGUGGAAUUCCUGGUGUAGCGGUGAAAUGCGCAGAUAUCAGGAAGAACACCCGUGGCGAAGGCGGCUCUCUGGAACGCAACUGACGCUGAGACGCGAAAGCGUGGGGAGCAAACAGG